AAUAUUGCGCAAUGGAGGAAACUCUGACGCAGCGACGCCGCGUGAGCGAUGAAGGUCUUCGGAUCGUAAAGCUCUGUCCUCAGGGAAGAAGAAAGUGACGGUACCUGAGGAGGAAGCCCCGGCUAACUACGUGCCAGCAGCCGCGGUAAUACGUAGGGGGCGAGCGUUGUCCGGAAUUAUUGGGCGUAAAGGGUGCGUAGGCGGCCUUUUAAGUCAGAUGUGAAAGACCACAGCUUAACUGUGGGGUUGCAUUUGAAACUGUGAGGCUUGAGUAUCGGAGAGGGUAGUGGAAUUCCAAGUGUAGCGGUGAUAUGCGUAGAUAUUUGGAGGAACACCAGUGGCGAAGGCGACUGCCUGGACGAAAACUGACGCUGAGGCACGAAAGCUAGGGGAGCAAAC
This 399-nucleotide ribosomal RNA is filed under the name uncultured bacterium. Its description in RNAcentral is "partial 16S ribosomal RNA". It matches the Rfam family "Bacterial small subunit ribosomal RNA", at positions 360 to 773 of the family's 1533-position model. The record is from RNAcentral.